Molecule: ribosomal RNA, 253 nt
Filed under: uncultured bacterium
Lineage: Bacteria
Description: partial 16S ribosomal RNA
Rfam family: Bacterial small subunit ribosomal RNA
Source: RNAcentral
UACAGAGGGGGCAAGCGUUGUUCGGAAUUACUGGGCGUAAAGGGCGCGUAGGCGGCCUUCUAAGUCGAACGUGAAAUCCCCGGGCUCAACCCGGGAACUGCGUCCGAUACUGGAAGGCUUGAAUCCGGGAGAGGGAUGCGGAAUUCCAGGUGUAGCGGUGAAAUGCGUAGAUAUCUGGAGGAACACCGGUGGCGAAGGCGGCAUCCUGGACCGUACCUGACGCUGAGGCGCGAAGGCUAGGGGAGCGAACGGG